Molecule: ribosomal RNA, 101 nt
Filed under: Erinaceus europaeus (western European hedgehog)
Lineage: Eukaryota; Metazoa; Chordata; Mammalia; Eulipotyphla; Erinaceidae
Source: RNAcentral
GUCUACAGUCAUACCAGCCUGAACACACCUGAUCUCCUCUGAUCUCAGAAGAAAGACCAGCCUUACUGCACAGCUCUGGCUUAUGGGUGGUGCUGGGGAUU